Molecule: long non-coding RNA, 1225 nt
Filed under: Homo sapiens (human)
Lineage: Eukaryota; Metazoa; Chordata; Mammalia; Primates; Hominidae
Description: HSALNT0314610
Source: RNAcentral
GUCUCUGUCCCUGCCACAUAGCCCCAGGCCCAAGACACUCCCCCCUAGGAGGGAUCCUUUUCCCAGAAGCUCCACCCCUCGGCAGCUGCAGUCAGGCCCUAUCUGGGCCUUUCCAGAAGCAACUCAGGAGCCCCAAGACCUGCAGGGGUAUGUGCACCCUGACCCCUGAUGCAUAGCCCUGCACCUGCAACCAGCUGGCCUCGGGCUGCAAACAAGGCGGGGACUUACUGUCUUGUCAUCCCCUGGACCCAAGAUGAGGGUGCUAGGACGCCCUCCCACACCACCCCAGCUUACCCAGGGGCACACCUCAGGAAAUUUCCCCUAAAGACCUGAGGAAUCACCGAAUGAAAGGGGCUUUUUACAAACUGGAAACUUAAGUGGAGUGCCAAUACACAACAUGGAUUGCACCAGGCUAGGUCUAAGAUAAAACCAGACUGUGGACAACAGGACAGAUAAGACACACAUGGCUCUGCACUGCCUGGGUCUGUUAUUGUGUGGAGGAAUGUCUUAGUCUGUUGCUCCUGUGGGUGUCGCUAAAGCACGAACCAGGGGUCUUCAUCCUUAGAAAGCAGUUAGACACCUGAGAACCAAUCCCAAACUGCAGCCUUCCACAGAACCUUCUGGAACCUUCUGGAAUGCAACUCAUUACUGCCAGAGGCUCUUUGAUGAGAGUCUACUCUCCACCAUUUGUCUUCAAAGAGAAUACCCACAUAUUAUCUUUCUGUGGAAAGGCUUGGAAAUCUAGUGUAUAUUUUACACUAAGAGCAUAUCUCAAUUAAGAUGGCCACAUCUCAAGUGCCCAGUAGCCACAUGUGGCCUGAGGCCAUGACUCUGGGCAGUACAGCUUUAGGUCAAGCGUGCCUCACAAAGGGACCAGUGGAGGUGCCUCAGUUUACUUGGGAGCUUGGCCUCUCCAGCUUGCCCUCCUACUGCCUGGAAGAAGAUUAGUGUCCUCUUGCCUUCUCUAGCCCCUUUCCCAAGAACCCUCCCAGAAUUUCGUCCUAUGAAGGGCCAGGGGUGCAAGGAGUCACCCACACAAUGACAGGACCCACCAGCAAUACCAGAAGUUGGCUAGCCCUACUCAUCCAAAUUCCCUUCUGCCAGCUGGACAUCACAAGGAUUUCAGACUGCCAUCCUGUGACAACUCCAUUUUGGGGUCUGGGGAUGUAAGGGUUACUGUAUUAGUCCAUUCUCACUCUGCUAAUAAAGACAUACCUGAGACUGG